GAUGAACGCUGGCGGCGUGCCUAAUACAUGCAAGUCGAGCGAACAGAUGAGGAGCUUGCUCCUCUGACGUUAGCGGCGGACGGGUGAGUAACACGUGGAUAACCUACCUAUAAGACUGGGAUAACUUCGGGAAACCGGAGCUAAUACCGGAUAAUAUAUUGAACCGCAUGGUUCAAUAGUGAAAGACGGUUUUGCUGUCACUUAUAGAUGGAUCCGCGCCGCAUUAGCUAGUUGGUAAGGUAACGGCUUACCAAGGCAACGAUGCGUAGCCGACCUGAGAGGGUGAUCGGCCACACUGGAACUGAGACACGGUCCAAACUCCUACGGGAGGCAGCGUUAGGGAAUCUUCCGCAAGGGGCGAAAGCCUGACGGAGCAACGCCGCGUGAGUGAGGAAGGUCUUUGGUUCUUAAAACUCUUUUUUUAGGGAAAAAAAAAUGUGAAAGUAACAAUGCCCUUCUUGACGGUACCAAACCAAAAAGCCCCGGCUAACUACGU
RNAcentral lists this ribosomal RNA (496 nucleotides) under uncultured bacterium. RNAcentral describes it as "partial 16S ribosomal RNA". It matches the Rfam family "Bacterial small subunit ribosomal RNA", at positions 28 to 506 of the family's 1533-position model. The record is from RNAcentral.